Molecule: ribosomal RNA, 297 nt
Filed under: uncultured Pseudomonadota bacterium
Lineage: Bacteria; Pseudomonadati; Pseudomonadota
Description: uncultured proteobacterium partial 16S ribosomal RNA
Rfam family: Bacterial small subunit ribosomal RNA
Source: RNAcentral
AGCGAACGCUGGCGGCAGGCUUAACACAUGCAAGUCGAACGGGCACCUUCGGGUGUCAGUGGCAGACGGGUGAGUAACACGUGGGAACGUGCCCUUCGGUUCGGAAUAACUCAGGGAAACUUGAGCUAAUACCGGAUACGCCCUUACGGGGAAAGGUUUACUGCCGAAGGAUCGGCCCGCGUCUGAUUAGCUAGUUGGUGGGGUAAUGGCCUACCAAGGCGACGAUCAGUAGCUGGUCUGAGAGGAUGAUCAGCCACACUGGGACUGAGACACGGCCCAGACUCCUACGGGAGGCUG